Capsicum annuum is the source of this 549-nucleotide long non-coding RNA. RefSeq lists it as uncharacterized. Lineage: Eukaryota; Viridiplantae; Streptophyta; Magnoliopsida; Solanales; Solanaceae. The transcript is spliced from 2 exons. The record is from RefSeq and is a predicted model, not a curated record.
AUUUUAAAAAAUGAAGCCGCAGCUAUCUCUCUUUUUAUACCUCUUUCUCUCUUUACCUCUCUCUAAUCGUCAAUGGCUGCCGUCGCCGCUGAGAAAGCUGAUGCCGCCCCUUCCCCUCUUCCUAGCUUCCCUAUUCUCUUCCUUAGCUUAAGAAAACCUGAUGCCGCCGAGCCAGCUGGGAUUUCAGCCGACAGAGCACCAGCGUCGCCUCCCAACAUCAACUAUGCUAACACUAUUGCGUCCUCGCCAGUUGAGAAAGUCAGGGAGAUAAAUAGCGAAGGGAGCUAGAAAAGGAGGACUUUAUGCACUGGAAGACAUCAACACCUAUGCCUUGACAACAACCCUAAACUGGAGGAAGACGAAUUGUAUUUGACACAGUAGAUUAGGUCAUUCUAGUUUGAAGUCUUUAUAAUUUUUUAGUAGAAAGAAGCUUAUAAAUUUUAAGAGUUGGAAUAAUGUGCAUGCUAUUUAUACUAGAUGCCGGUUGGGAAAAAUUUGUAAACUUUCUUCUAUAUUGAGAAAUAAAAUUGAAAAGGAAUCAUUACUCAA